AAGGCGACGGCUCCUUCACUUGCCGCCACCUCCCUCCGGAGGAAGGCACUUCUGCGCUGGUCAUCUCGGGGGGAUAAAUACGGCAAUUCUGACUCAACCGACCAGCGGCUGCACUUCGUGAGUCCUGGUGGUGCGCGUGCGCUCUGCCUUUGGGCGUUGUCCGAGUGUCGCGCUCGAGACUCACCGGCAGCCGGAAUUCCAAGUUCUCUUGAGCCAGCAGGAGCAGGUACCGCGUAAGCACCGCGUUCGCCGACGCCAUAGUCUCGCCGUCUUUCGAAGCCCGCAUGCGUGCGGCCGAACAGCGUCACUGUGGAAAGGCGGUGCUUAGCGCAGGGGAAGAAGGAAAUGAUGAGAACUGAACCCAGGAACGGAAUAGACGAUGCCGUAAAAAGGGGGCUUCCACGUCCUAGAAAGGCGACAUUACUCUGUACCAGGGUUUAAGCUGUGAUCUCAGAGCUCUGCUU
This is a long non-coding RNA of Rhineura floridana, 464 nucleotides long. RefSeq lists it as uncharacterized. The record is from RefSeq and is a predicted model, not a curated record. The transcript is spliced from 3 exons. Lineage: Eukaryota; Metazoa; Chordata; Lepidosauria; Squamata; Rhineuridae.